Molecule: transfer-messenger RNA, 173 nt
Filed under: Fibrobacter sp.
Lineage: Bacteria; Pseudomonadati; Fibrobacterota; Fibrobacteria; Fibrobacterales; Fibrobacteraceae
Description: partial transfer-messenger RNA
Rfam family: transfer-messenger RNA
About the family: Bacterial tmRNA, also known as 10Sa RNA or SsrA, is named for its dual tRNA and mRNA-like properties. Its role is to liberate the mRNA from a stalled ribosome. To accomplish this part of the tmRNA is used as a reading frame that ends in a translation stop signal.
Source: RNAcentral
UAAUGUGCUAGUUCGAUAGAGGGUAUCGGUUAUCGGGCGAAAUUAAGAUACUGGCUUUUUGGCAAGCGUGUCUGUUCGCGUGUUAAAAAGCAAGAUUAAACAAUAGACUAAACAUGUAGUGGCUCUUAUUGAUCGUUUUUCGGACAGGGGUUCAACUCCCCUCACCUCCACCA